This 371-nucleotide RNase P RNA is filed under the name Eubacteriales Family XIII. Incertae Sedis bacterium. RNAcentral's name for it is "RNase P RNA component class A". It matches the Rfam family "Bacterial RNase P class A". From Rfam's summary of the family: Ribonuclease P (RNase P) is a ubiquitous endoribonuclease, found in archaea, bacteria and eukarya as well as chloroplasts and mitochondria. Its best characterised activity is the generation of mature 5'-ends of tRNAs by cleaving the 5'-leader elements of precursor-tRNAs. Cellular RNase Ps are ribonucleoproteins. Lineage: Bacteria; Bacillati; Bacillota; Clostridia; Peptostreptococcales; Anaerovoracaceae. The record is from RNAcentral.
UGAGCAAGCCAGGCAAUCGCGCGCGCGGUUCUUUAGGGGCCAAGCGUGAGGAAAGUCCGGGCUCCAUAGGGCAAGGGUGCCGGAUAACGUCCGGUGAAGGUGACUUUAAGGAAAGUGCAACAGAAACACACCGCCGAAACGGGGCGCGUCGCGUCGUCCGUGGCAAGGUUGAAAUGGUGAGGCAAGAGCUCACCGGCGGCAUGGUGACAUGCCGGCCGUGUAAACCCCACCCGGAGCAAGGCCAAGCAGGGCGUGAAAAAGGCGGCUGCCCGUCGCCGCCCGGAAUGGUGGGCCGCAUGAGCCUGUCGGUAACGGCAGGCCUAGAUAGAUGAUUGCUUAAUACAGAACCCGGCUUAUGGCUUGCUCAUUUA